UGAGCCAAGUUUAGGGUUUUCUCAAAACCCAAGCAGUAUUGAACUGAAGAGUUUGAUCAUGGCUCAGAUUGAACGCUGGCGGCAGGCCUAACACAUGCAAGUCGAGCGGAUGAAGGGAGCUUGCUCCUGGAUUCAGCGGCGG
Molecule: ribosomal RNA, 142 nt
Filed under: Pseudomonas aeruginosa
Lineage: Bacteria; Pseudomonadati; Pseudomonadota; Gammaproteobacteria; Pseudomonadales; Pseudomonadaceae
Description: partial 16S ribosomal RNA
Rfam family: Bacterial small subunit ribosomal RNA (bases 41-142)
Source: RNAcentral